This 553-nucleotide ribosomal RNA is filed under the name Bacillus cereus. RNAcentral describes it as "bacterial SSU rRNA". It matches the Rfam family "Bacterial small subunit ribosomal RNA", at positions 408 to 1417 of the family's 1533-position model. Lineage: Bacteria; Bacillati; Bacillota; Bacilli; Caryophanales; Bacillaceae. The record is from RNAcentral.
AUGAAGGCUUUCGGGUCGUAAAACUCUGUUGUUAGGGAAGAACAAGUGCUAGUUGAAUAAGCGGGCACCUUGACGGUACCUAACCAGAAAGCCACGGCUAACUACGUGCCAGCAGCCGCGGUAAUACGUAGGUGGCAAGCGUUAUCCGGAAUUAUUGGGCGUAAAGCGCGCGCAGGUGGUUUCUUAAGUCUGAUGUGAAAGCCCACGGCUCAACCGUGGAGGGUCAUUGGAAACUGGGAGACUUGAGUGCAGAAAAGGAAAGUGAAAUUCCAUGUGUAGCGGUGAAAUGCGUAAAGAUAUGGAGGAACACCAGUGGCGAAGGCGACUUUCUGGUCUGUAACUGACACUGAGGCGCGAAAGCGUGGGGAGCAAACAGGAUUAGAUACCCUGGUAGUCCACGCCGUAAACAAUGAGUGCUAACUGUUAGAGGGUUUCCGCCCUUUAGUGCUGAAGUUAACGCAUUAAGCACUCCGCCUGGGGAGUACGGCCGCAAUUCUGACUCUCUCCCGGCGCUUUCGGGCUGUAGUGUCAGUUUACGUACGAGAAAAGUUCU